AACCUAGCACACCUGCGGUGUGUACCUGCGGAGGGAUCAUUACAGAGUUGCAAAACUCCCCAAACCAUUGUGAACCUUACCUUCAACCGUUGCUUCGGCGGGCGGGCCACAGCGCCCCCCGGGCCCCCCCAGCGGGGCGCCCGCCGGAGGAUACCCAAACUCUUGAUACUUUAUGGCCUCUCUGAGUCUUCUGUACUGAAUAAGUCAAAACUUUUAGCAACGGAUCUCAGAUCGGAAGAG
RNAcentral lists this unclassified non-coding RNA (240 nucleotides) under soil metagenome. RNAcentral describes it as "partial contains 5.8S ribosomal RNA, internal transcribed spacer 2, and large subunit ribosomal RNA". The record is from RNAcentral.